AACUGUGGUAAUUCUAGAGCUAAUACAUGCCGCUAAGCUCCGACCUUGCGGAAGGAGCGCAUUUAUUAGACCAAAACCAGCCGGGCCUCGGCUCGUAGUUUGGUGACUCUGAAUAACUCUGCUGAUCACAUGGUCCUAGCACCGGUGACAUAUCUUUCAAGUGUCUGCCCUAUCAACUUUCGAUGGUAGUUUAUGUGCCUACCAUGGUUGUAACGGGUAACGGAGAAUAAGGGUUCGACUCCGGAGAGGGAGCCUGAGAAAUGGCUACCACAUCCAAGGAAGGCAGCAGGCGCGCAAAUUACCCACUCUCAGCUCGAGGAGGUAGUGACGAAAAAUAACGAGACGGUUCUCUUUGAGGCCCGUCAUCGGAAUGGGUACAAUUUAAACCCUUUAACGAGGAUCUAUUGGAGGGCAAGUCUGGUGCCAGCAGCCGCGGUAAUUCCAGCUCCAAUAGCAUAUACCAAUUCUGCUGCUGUUAAAAAGCUCGUAGUUGGAUCGUUUCCGAAGGCGCAGUCUGUCUCAAGGACAUGUACUGCGUUCCGAGGAUAGAUACGCUGGUCUUGCCAUGGUCCUCUUGAUUGAGUGCCUUGGCUGGCUAGCAGGUUUACUUUGAAAAAAUUAGAGUGCUCAAAACAGGCGAUACUGCCCGAAUAGUGGUGCAUGGAAUAAUGGAAUAGGAUCUCGGUUCUAUUUUGUUGGUUUUAGGAGCGCGAGAUAAUGAUUAAGAGGGACAGACGGGGGCAUUCGUAUUGCGGCGUUAGAGGUGAAAUUCUUGGAUCGCCGCAAGACGAACAACUGCGAAAGCAUUUGCC
This 812-nucleotide ribosomal RNA is filed under the name Stilbonema brevicolle. RNAcentral's name for it is "SSU rRNA". It matches the Rfam family "Eukaryotic small subunit ribosomal RNA", at positions 145 to 959 of the family's 1831-position model. Lineage: Eukaryota; Metazoa; Nematoda; Chromadorea; Desmodorida; Desmodoridae. The record is from RNAcentral.